UACGUAGGGCGCAAGCGUUUUCCGGAAUUAUUGGGCGUAAAGAGCUCGUAGGCGGUCUGUCGCGUCGGCUGUGAAAGCCCGGGGCUCAACCCCGGGUCUGCAGUCGAUACGGGCAGGCUAUAGUGCGGUAGGGGAGACUGGAAUUCCUGGUGUAGCGGUGAAAUGCGCAGAUAUCAGGAGGAACACCGGUGGCGAAGGCGGGUCUCUGGGCCGUAACUGACGCUGAGGAGCGAAAGCGUGGGGAGCGAACAGG
Molecule: ribosomal RNA, 253 nt
Filed under: uncultured bacterium
Lineage: Bacteria
Description: partial 16S ribosomal RNA
Rfam family: Bacterial small subunit ribosomal RNA
Source: RNAcentral